UACAGAGGUCUCAAGCGUUGUUCGGAUUCAUUGGGCGUAAAGGGUGCGUAGGCGGCGCGGUAAGUCGGGUGUGAAAUCUCGGAGCUUAACUCCGAAACUGCAUUCGAUACUGCCGUGCUUGAGGACUGGAGAGGAGACUGGAAUUUACGGUGUAGCGGUGAAAUGCGUAGAUAUCGAGAGGAACACCUGCGGCGAAGGCGGGUUGCUGGGCCGACACUGACGCUGAGGCGCGAAAGCUAGGGGAGCAAACGGG
Molecule: ribosomal RNA, 253 nt
Filed under: uncultured bacterium
Lineage: Bacteria
Description: partial 16S ribosomal RNA
Rfam family: Bacterial small subunit ribosomal RNA
Source: RNAcentral